Molecule: ribosomal RNA, 724 nt
Filed under: uncultured bacterium
Lineage: Bacteria
Description: bacterial SSU rRNA
Rfam family: Bacterial small subunit ribosomal RNA
Source: RNAcentral
CCUGCCGAUGACUCGGGGAUAGCCUUUCGAAAGAAAGAUUAAUACCCGAUGGCAUAGUUCUUCCGCAUGGUAGAACUAUUAAAGAAUUUCGGUCAUCGAUGGGGAUGCGUUCCAUUAGGUUGUUGGCGGGGUAACGGCCCACCAAGCCUUCGAUGGAUAGGGGUUCUGAGAGGAAGGUCCCCCACAUUGGAACUGAGACACGGUCCAAACUCCUACGGGAGGCAGCAGUGAGGAAUAUUGGUCAAUGGACGAGAGUCUGAACCAGCCAAGUAGCGUGAAGGAUGACUGCCCUAUGGGUUGUAAACUUCUUUUAUACGGGAAUAAAGUGAGGCACGUGUGCCUUUUUGUAUGUACCGUAUGAAUAAGGAUCGGCUAACUCCGUGCCAGCAGCCGCGGUAAUACGGAGGAUCCGAGCGUUAUCCGGAUUUAUUGGGUUUAAAGGGAGCGUAGGCGGACGCUUAAGUCAGUUGUGAAAGUUUGCGGCUCAACCGUAAAAUUGCAGUUGAUACUGGGUGUCUUGAGUACUGUAGAGGCAGGCGGAAUUCGUGGUGUAGCGGUGAAAUGCUUAGAUAUCACGAAGAACUCCGAUUGCGAAGGCGGCCUGCUGGACUGUAACUGACGCUGAUGCUCGAAAGUGUGGGUAUCAAACAGGAUUAGAUACCCUGGUAGUCCACACAGUAAACGAUGAAUACUCGCUGUUUGCGAUAUACAGUAAGCGGCCAAG